AUGGAAUGGUUAAUUUACAAGAAUAUGUACAUAUAUACAUACAUAUAUUGUACAUAUACGCAUAUGAUUAAAAAAAUUAUGAACUGAAUGAUUGAAAUAACUUAAAGACAGAGAAGUGCAUCACAACAGGGGAUUAUGUUGAGAUUAGAAGUCAUUUGAUGAGUAAUUAAGAGAGGAUAACACCAAAAAAGACAGAGCAUAGUGGAGAGAGUUUAGCAAAAAAAAAAAAAAGCAUAGUGGAGAGAGUAUGAGAUUUAUUAAAAAUUAAUUAAUUAUGAAAUAAUAUCUACUGUAGAUUGUGUGCACAUGCAUUUCCCCUACUGCAUUAUAGCACCCUCUGUCUAGUUCUUCUCUAUCUUUACUCGUAUAUGAUUUAAUAUUACACAAAUUAUUGAUCUGUUAAGGAUUUUAUUUUAAAU
This 419-nucleotide long non-coding RNA is filed under the name Brassica napus (rape). RNAcentral's name for it is "long non-coding RNA (BNAP_LNC007444)". Lineage: Eukaryota; Viridiplantae; Streptophyta; Magnoliopsida; Brassicales; Brassicaceae. The record is from RNAcentral.